This 367-nucleotide ribosomal RNA is filed under the name uncultured bacterium. RNAcentral's name for it is "bacterial SSU rRNA". It matches the Rfam family "Bacterial small subunit ribosomal RNA", at positions 527 to 896 of the family's 1533-position model. The record is from RNAcentral.
GAAGGUGGCAAGCGUUGUUCGGAUUUACUGGGCGUACAGGGAGCGUAGGCGGUUCGGUAAGCCCUCUGUGAAAUCUCCAGGCUUAACCUGGAACAGUCGGAGGGGACUGCUGGGCUAGAGGACGGGAGAGGAGCGCGGAAUUCCCGGUGUAGCGGUGAAAUGCGUAGAGAUCGGGAGGAAGGCCGGUGGCGAAGGCGGCGCUCUGGAACGUUUCUGACGCUGAGGCUCGAAAGCGUGGGGAGCAAACAGGAUUAGAUACCCUGGUAGUCCACGCCUUAAACUAUGAAUACUAAGUGUCGGCGGUUUACCGCCGGUGCCGCAGCUAACGCAUUAAGUAUUCCGCCUGGGAAGUACGGCCGCAAGGUUG